UGCUUGGGAAUAUGCCUUAUGGUGGGGGACAACAGUUGGAAACGACUGCUAAUACCGCAUAAUAUCUACGGAUCAAAGCGGGGGACCUUCGGGCCUCGUGCCAUUUGAUUAGCCCAAGUGAGAUUAGCUAGUUGGUAAGGUAAUGGCUUACCAAGGCGACGAUCUCUAGCUGGUUUGAGAGGAUGAUCAGCCACACUGGGACUGAGACACGGCCCAGACUCCUACGGGAGGCAGCAGUGGGGAAUAUUGCACAAUGGGGGAAACCCUGAUGCAGCCAUGCCGCGUGUGUGAAGAAGGCCU
Molecule: ribosomal RNA, 300 nt
Filed under: uncultured Thalassomonas sp.
Lineage: Bacteria; Pseudomonadati; Pseudomonadota; Gammaproteobacteria; Alteromonadales; Colwelliaceae
Description: bacterial SSU rRNA
Rfam family: Bacterial small subunit ribosomal RNA
Source: RNAcentral